This 6114-nucleotide long non-coding RNA is filed under the name Dermacentor andersoni. Its description in RNAcentral is "uncharacterized LOC126536205". The record is from RNAcentral. Lineage: Eukaryota; Metazoa; Arthropoda; Arachnida; Ixodida; Ixodidae.
AAUUCGUAUGGGGUAGGCAUUAUGACAUACAAAAAAGGUGCCAGCUAACUAGAGCUUUAGACUGAUGUACCUACCUUGCCAUUGAUUUGAUGCUGUGAUGCUGAGGCACAGUUAGAAGAGACAGCACUAGUGGUGAUAUCUGGGGUAGAGAUUGGCUAAAAUGUGUUGGAUUAUUCUCUUCAGCCAAUGUGUGCACAUUUGUGCAUGCCAAGAUCCAUGAAAAGCAAGAGAACUGAUGAAAAUAUCUAAAAUGUGCUGCAUGUGUCUUGAAACACUUCUGAUUGGACCUGGGCUGCAAGAUUUGAUAUGGGUAAAGAGUUGAAAUUUAGAUAGCUGGGUGUUUGUGCUCAAUGUCAGUACGUCAUCGUGUGGCCAGUCGAGUUCUGCUGUUUCUCAAAAUCUUUCACAUGAGGCGCAUUUUUAAGUAGUUGGAUAGGUGCUUUAUAAGUAUGCUACGCAUUAAAUAGUUGAUGUUCUUUUUUCUGGCAUUUCUGUACAGAGUUGUUUCAUGGAGACUACAUUCUGUAACCUUGGCAAAACUCGCCGAGGUAUAACAAAAUCUCAAUCGGUUCUCCAGCUGUACGCUUUUCAGGAUUUUAAAGAUGCAAUAAAAGUGGUCAAACUAAAUUUUCAAUGGACAGAAUUAAUUUGCUCCUGUAGGGGUUACUGUCUUGCAUUGCUAUUCUUGGUAGGAGGUUAUUGGAAAUUCGUAUCUGCUAAAAGCUUUAUGCCAGCAGACAAGUAGAAUCUAACUUCUCGCUGGAGCUGUGCUUCCCAAGCUUUGCUUGGCACAUUCUUAUUUCAGGGCAUUGUGACUGAAAAAGAAAAAAAAAAAUUAACAAGAGAGGAGUUUGAGUCAGCAUAUGUAGUUUGGAGACAUGCUUAGCGCUAACCCUCCUUGUGAUGCUAGUGCUACCACGGCAGCCUGACACUUGCGUGGCACCAUACUUGUGUGAUAGUGGUAAUGUGUGCAUGUCGUACGAAACUCCCGGAAAACCUAUGUUGGCUAUUUUUUUUAGCAGCUGUUUGUACCCUGUGUGUAUUUCUCUUGUGCAGCUGGAGUUGCGUCUAACACCUUGCUUCCCACUGCCGUGCCGCUGGUAGAGUGCCCCAUAGACCGGCAGCGACGCCGACGUUCUCCCUACAUCAACCAAGUGGGCAGGUACCAGUGUUCUUUCUGUCCUUACCGCACUGACUACCAGACCAACCUGAUAGCGCACCAGCGUACACACACAGGGGAAAGACCAUUCCGCUGCAGCUUCUGUGCCAAGGGGUUCGCCCAAAAGAGCAACCUGAAAUCCCACCUGAAGAGGCACAUCACUGAUGCUGUCGCCCAGUGAAUUUGCCGACUCUCUGCUGGUUUGUGCUUGUGUGUGCCCCACUAAACAAGCAGCUGAGUGAGAACUAUGUUCUAGUAGCGUCACUUUGUCUUCUAAGUAAUGUCAUUUUUUCACAAGAAAAUGUUUCUCUUAUGUGGCCAUCUGGUGGAUGCAUAUGUUCACAUAGUUCAAGCAUGUGUGCUUAUAAUUUAAUUGCAAGGGAAAUAUGUGUAAGCGAGAAAAAGAAAUAGUAGACAAAUUGUGCUGGACAAGUUAUUAUAUUGGUGCUGCUUUACCUGGUGGUAGUGACAGUAGUAUUCAACAGUUAUGUCCCUACUUUCCAGCCAGAAAAUUCAUCUUCAACGAGCAGCUAAAAUGGCACCUAUUGUGAACAGAUUAGGCUUAGGCAUCAUAAAGCAACAAAGCUUACUCAUCUUUUCAUAUUUAUUUUGGUCCUGAACUCGAGUUAAACAUUCCAAUGUUUAAUCUGUUUUGCAUGUGUAGUGUACAGCCAAAACGAUUACAUGUGGCAUGAUGCACAUUCUUUUAAUUGUGCUUGCAUGUCAAUAUAAUGUUCGGAAGGGCAGCCAAUGUUUUGUUUUGUGAGCAGUUUAACUUGCAUGGGCUGAUCUAUUCCUUACCGGAACAUCUCAUUAGUAUGCACUCACACAUAACUUCAGCAUUUAUCCUAUUUUGCAGCAGACUUGUACUCCAUGCAACAUUUAGUACAAGUUUUUGUUUAUGGAAGAUGAAUAUGCAGCAUUUAAUGCCAGAUUUAAGUGCCAUAGCAUUUGAAUACUAGCAGAAUCCACUCUUUAAUAAGAGUUAACUGCACUGUACAUAGAGACUGCUGGAUUCAAAGCAAAAUUUACGCUGCAGAGAGAUAACUUUCUUGCACGAAGGACAAAUUUUAUGUUAAUUCACUCUUAAAAUUGAAGCCACCAUUUCUAUAAUACUGAGAUUUAGCAUUGCUACAGUAGCAUUUGCAAAAUUGAGUGUGUCGAACUCGCUAAAUUUGAUGGGAUCAUCUCUGCAUUUUUGUGCUUCAGGUCUGUCGCAGUACCAUGUGAGAGGUGUUGCUGUGAUUGUACAAUUUGAAUGGUGGGAAAUCAACAUAUGUGCUGUGUGCUUCAAGUAGAUUCCAAUUCAGAUCACGUCAUUUAAAUACUGUGAAUUCUUGCAUGUUAGAACUUGUCACACAACCAAAGUUUAUAAGUUCCUAAGGUGUUAAGUUAAAAUGUCAUUCUGGAGGUUCCUUACGUAAAAAUUUAUUUUUCUUGCUGGUGUUAGUGACCAAAGGAGUCAUCUGAGCUUAUACAAGCACUGAACUGGAAUAUCUUAGCACUAGUUCUUAUAAGGAUAAGAACAUCUGCUGAGGUUUGAACACUUUGAAGCUACAAGCCAAGUGUAACUUUUAGCCUCGGUGCUAACAACUAGUGUACAAUGCAUCAAAACACAAGUUUUUAUGUUCGUUUGUGCUGAUAAACAUAGUCAUUGAAAAUAGAAUUUCUUUAGUUUGUUUUAUUUUUGCUAAAGUUGUUUGCAUAAUUUGUAAAUAUUAUUCUAAAUCAGCCUUGAUUCAUAAAUUAUUUUGUUGCAUAAAAUGUUGACAUCUGACACUGAUCCUGAAUUUAAGUUUGGUGCAAUCAAAUGGCCUGGUUGUCAUAGGAAUUUAUAUCUUAUUUGCAUCCUUAAUUUGCAGUAAUACCAAACAUGUAUAUUUGUAACCAUUUGCUUCAGCUAGUGGUGAGAUAUUGACAAAUAGGACGACGUCUAACAACUUACAACUGCAGGAAUGCUCGAUCAAAAUUAUCCAGCAAAGAUUUACACAAUUUUUAUAUAUUAAUAAUAAUUUAUGUCAAGUACAGUGAUUCUUCAUAUUUUUUUCUUCUUGAUUACCUUUAUUGUGACAUCAAUGGUCUACUUGUGUAUCUUGACCAAUUAAGUUUGCUGGCAUGUUCUGAACAUUUGAUCAGAAAAUGUGGCAUUUACGAUUGAGGGACACUGUAAAUGGUGCAUGAAUAUUUUCUCCACCUAAUGAUUUCAGCCGUUGUAAUUUUGAAGACAAGGAAGAUCAUGUUAAGUUUUCUAACAGUGUUCUUGCUUUUUUACUUUCUAAUCUCAUUUGUUUUCUCUUUCUUUUUCUUUUUUUUUGUAUUUAUCUGAGAUUUCUAAUUUCUUUUUCUUUACACCUGUGAGGAAAAACAAAGUAUACAUGGUUGUUACAGCCAAGUGAAGCCAUUGAACAAGGAAGUGAAGGCUUGGCAUUGUCUGUUAGCUUCAUUGCGUUCACUGAAUCAAUACCCCCUCACUUUCCCUGAUUCUUCUCACUCAAAGUAUAGGUGAACGAGUUGUACCACAAAACUGUUUUACAAAGGCACCGGUGAGCUUUAACUUGGUGAAGUUUUUACAUCUGUUUUGUAAUUGUUUUCUAUUUAUUUCAUUACAUUGAAGGUAGUGAAUUUGUUACUCACCGAAAUUUCUUAUGCUUGGGUUUCCCAAGAUCUUGCAGCCUGUAACAACAACAACCAUAGUGCUGGAUAUUGCUUGUGCCUGUCAUAUCUUGCUGCCCAUGUGUAAUAGCACUGUGGUUUCUGUGAUUCCUGUGUGUGAGUCUUAGCAGAUUGUGUGAAAAUUGUAUGAAUCGACCAGUGUGCCUCUGCCUACAUAAGUAAAUUUUUCUGCAUAUAGUUUAAAGAGACAGUAAAAAAAUUAAGAUGGGUUUUUUUUGCAGAACUCUGUAUUCAUUUUGUUGACAAAAAAGUUUUGUUUAAUACUAAUACACAGAAUGAAGACGAAACUUUCAUUUUUGAAUACUGUGGCACUGACGACAUUGGUUUGAUCCAGAUUCUACAUUGCCUACUUGUCCUUGGGACCUUCCUUUUUUUUUAUUUGUGAGAAAUAUCUGUAAAAGUUGCCCUGUGGUGUCUUUGCAUACAUUCAAAUUAAAUGUAAUUGUUUCUUUCCUAUCGAUACACAGCUAAGUAGUUCUGAGCAGAUGUUGCUGAAAUCUCUGACAUCACAGGCAGCUAGCGCAGGAAUCUCAAGCAUGAUUGGCCUUGCCAGCAGAGUGACCUUGAAGGACAGCUGUCUACAGAAAGCCCUCUUCAUACCAGGAUCACCAUUUAAUAUGGCCACAAGGAAAUGCAGCAGGUGCGGCUAGCAAACAAACAUGAGCAUGACCCGACAUCCUUAACCUCUGCCACUGGACACACCACAGAGUGGAACAUCUCGUGUUUUCGUAAGCAUGGUUACUUGCACCUUUCAACUUUUUAUUUCUUAUCACAAGAGGUGCAGCUUCCUGUGGUGUCAUCUUUCAACAAAGGCAACUUUUCCUUCCAGCCCAAAGACUUAUGUGGGUGUGCUUUAAUCAGAAGCUGUAUCCUUCUGUCUGCAUGGCGAUGGACUACAUUUGCAUUCAUAAAAGGCAGAUGCCAAUUUUCAUUUUAUAUCAGGCUCCCUUCACAACUUUCCUGCUAACCCUUUGAGGUGCUGUGUACAUAAUUGUGGAGACCAACAUAGUGCAUUAACAGCAAAGGCAUUGAUAAACACAACGAUAUUGAAAACUUGUUGCUUACACUUUAAAAGACUUCUGAUUGGAAUAGUGCUGCAAGUUUCAAUAAAAAAAGGGCAGAAUGUUUUGGUAGAACCAGCGGGAAGGUCGAUGGUUGGGUAUAUUUGCUCUAUGUUUGGGUGUUGUGGUACGUAGUUCACUUCCUUCGUUAUUUUUCAUGAUGUUUUACACCAGGUAUAAUUUUCAAGUGGCUAGAUAGGUGCUUUUGAAGCCUGCUAGACAUGAAAUAGUUUAUCUUAUCAUAUUUGAUGUUCCUGUAAUGAGUUUUUGCAUGGAGUCCACUUUCUGUAAACUUGACAAAAAACACUAAAUAAGUGAAAAUUCUUAGUCUGUUCUGCAGCUGUAUGCUCCUAAUUAUUCUGAAGACGCAAGAAAUUCAGUAAAAGUAAGUUCUCAAUCAACAAUUAAUCAGCGCCUCAAAGGGUUAAAAAGAAGCGAUCCAAAUGCAUCGCAUUAUCUUGACAGCUGUAAUUCUCAUGAUUGGUUGAGUUAAAAAUUGAUAUAAAGAAUAUCAAUGUAUGAAAUUCCUGAUAUAACGAAGUAGUCAACUAUUUAUAGCUUGUCCAUAGAACAUCUAUGUGUUUUGAAUCUCAGUAUGACGAAGUCGGUGUAUGCAUGAUCUCAAUUCAGUGAAAUUUCAAUUCCGUAACAAAGCAAUACUGGGGCAAUAAAUGGGAACUUCCACGGAUGUUGAUGGUGAAAUGAUAGAAUUACAAGGGGCUGCUUGUGAACGCAUCUCUCAUACCGCGCACUGCGUGACUAAGAGCAACCGCUGAAGUGGAGCAGCACCAUGUUACAUAUAAAGUCCAGUGUGAUAACAUCCUAUCACACCCCCUGUGCUGUAUGCUUUAGGUGUAAGUGAAAGUGUGUGAGGGUGAGCCGAGGAGGAUGGUCGCUUGAUGAGCGCAGUCUUUCUGUGUGAGCCAAGGAAAAAGGGGGAGGGGAGCGAGCUCGCGGUAAAGCCAUCAAGUGCAAGCAAGGGAAAAGGGGGGGAGGGGCUAGUGCAGGUUGGUAUGCGUCUCCUGGUUUGGUGAGGCCGUGGCUGCGCAUGGCUGUCAGGGCGACCGAGUGCAUAUGCAGCUCGUGCACUUUUUUAAAGAUGGUCUGCUGCGUGUUCUCAUAGUUGGUUUGCCAAGAUGGCCUGACAUCAUGUGCUCUGUCUUCUCACAUGUUUGAUACUGGAGGUUGUGUACUUUCAAGUUCUGGAGAUGCGUUGGAGCA